Molecule: ribosomal RNA, 1244 nt
Filed under: Achromobacter xylosoxidans
Lineage: Bacteria; Pseudomonadati; Pseudomonadota; Betaproteobacteria; Burkholderiales; Alcaligenaceae
Description: partial 16S ribosomal RNA
Rfam family: Bacterial small subunit ribosomal RNA (bases 269-1244)
Source: RNAcentral
GCGUCAGCUCAUCACGCGUAGUACGCUACGCGCUCGAGUUCGCACGUCACGACUAUCCACGGUCGCUAGUCGACUCUGCGUACGUUACGUGGCAGCGACGCUCCCAGUCUAUACUGCCGAUGACGGGACUAUCCGCGUCGUCACUGCUUGGUAGUCACGCGUCGUCUGGUACGUAAACUCUGCUCUGAAGAUAGUAUGUGGCUAGUACAUCGCCGGUGAACUGACGGUACCGACAGAUCAGCACCGGCUACAGUACCAGCUAGCAGUCUCGUCAUAGGUAGGUCGCAUUAUUACAUACUAAUUACUGGCAUCAUGCGUGCGCGGUCGGUCAGAACGAUAGGAUGUGAAUGAGCGUGAUAACUUCGGACAUGCAUACUUAUCUACCUGGCUAGAGUGUGAGGGAGGUGGAAUUCCGCGUGUAGCAGUGAAAUGCGUAGAUAUGCGGAGGAACACCGAUGGCGAAGGCAGCUCCUGGGAUAACACUGACGCUCAUGCACGAAAGCGUGGGGAGCAAACAGGAUUAGAUACCCUGGUAGUCCACGCCCUAAACGAUGUCAACUAGCUGUUGGGGCCUUCGGGCCUUGGUAGCGCAGCUAACGCGUGAAGUUGACCGCCUGGGGAGUACGGUCGCAAGAUUAAAACUCAAAGGAAUUGACGGGGACCCGCACAAGCGGUGGAUGAUGUGGAUUAAUUCGAUGCAACGCGAAAAACCUUACCUACCCUUGACAUGUCUGGAAUCCCGAAGAGAUUUGGGAGUGCUCGCAAGAGAACCGGAACACAGGUGCUGCAUGGCUGUCGUCAGCUCGUGUCGUGAGAUGUUGGGUUAAGUCCCGCAACGAGCGCAACCCUUGUCAUUAGUUGCUACGAAAGGGCACUCUAAUGAGACUGCCGGUGACAAACCGGAGGAAGGUGGGGAUGACGUCAAGUCCUCAUGGCCCUUAUGGGUAGGGCUUCACACGUCAUACAAUGGUCGGGACAGAGGGUCGCCAACCCGCGAGGGGGAGCCAAUCCCAGAAACCCGAUCGUAGUCCGGAUCGCAGUCUGCAACUCGACUGCGUGAAGUCGGAAUCGCUAGUAAUCGCGGAUCAGCAUGUCGCGGUGAAUACGUUCCCGGGUCUUGUACACACCGCCCGUCACACCAUGGGAGUGGGUUUUACCAGAAGUAGUUAGCCUAACCGCAAGGAGGGCGAUUACCACGGUAGGAUUCAUGACUGGGGUGAAGUCGUAACAAGGUAGCCGUAAAU